This 102-nucleotide small RNA is filed under the name Microcebus murinus (gray mouse lemur). RNAcentral's name for it is "Y RNA (ENSMICG00000025136.3)". Lineage: Eukaryota; Metazoa; Chordata; Mammalia; Primates; Cheirogaleidae. The record is from RNAcentral.
GACACGUCUUGAUGGUGGCGUGUGACAUAGACCUUUUGAAAGAAGAGAUUGUUAUCUGCUAGUUUCUACUCUGUUCCCGCUGCUUCACUUGACCAGCCUUAA